GUGAGGGACAUGUGAAAGAAACCAUUUGAAACGGUGUGGUGCACAUGACGCUGGUUCACGAAAUGAGAAGCCACUCCUACGCUUGCACGAAACCAUUACCAAAACCAAUUUGUCGUUGCAGAUCGAAAAUCUUUCAUCCUACCUGUAUAAAAGCCGCACGAAAUCCUUCUCCCAUGGUGUCUCAUCCCACCUGCACGAAAGUCAUUGAUCGCACAAUAUCCUUCGUCCCACAAUGCUUCACCAAAUCGCAACAGAACCAACCCACGGUGAUUGACGGAAAACCCUUCGUUGUUCGUUGGAAGUGGAAAGCAUUAAAGUUGCAGUUUUUAGGUCCUUGGUAACUGUUUCUUGAUAUAUGGAUAUGGAACAAGGUAAUAGCUCCAUUGAAAAUAAGAUACAGAUACAUUUUAGGCAUUCUUGUGGAACAAAAUAUGUUGCAUCUAUUAACAACUAGUUAAUAGCAGAGAAGUUAUUUAUUCAAGGGACCUGUUUCGGAUGGUUAACAAUGUUGAAGGAGUCUACGAAAUUGUCUAGAAACCUUAUUAGUAAAUUAUGUUCUAAGUGGGAUGAAAAGAGUGAAUGUUUUCAAAUUGAAUUAGGCACGAGAAAGAAAGAGAUGUCGUGAACCACAAUCACGAGCUUUUGAAUUUUCAAUUAAAUGACCAUCAUUGCUUCACUUUUCCAAUCA
Molecule: long non-coding RNA, 688 nt
Organism: Vigna unguiculata (cowpea)
Lineage: Eukaryota; Viridiplantae; Streptophyta; Magnoliopsida; Fabales; Fabaceae
Source: RefSeq, a predicted model, not a curated record